UGGGGAAUAUUGCACAAUGGGCGCAAGCCUGAUGCAGCCAUGCCGCGUGUAUGAAGAAGGCCUUCGGGUUGUAAAGUACUUUCAGCGGGGAGGAAGGGAGUAAAGUUAAUACCUUUGCUCAUUGACGUUACCCGCAGAAGAAGCACCGGCUAACUCCGUGCCAGCAGCCGCGGUAAUACGGAGGGUGCAAGCGUUAAUCGGAAUUACUGGGCGUAAAGCGCACGCAGGCGGUUUGUUAAGUCAGAUGUGAAAUCCCCGGGCUCAACCUGGGAGCUGGAUCUGAUAAAGGCAAGCUUGAGUAUCGUAGAGGGGGGUAGAAUACCAGGUGUAGCGAUGAAAUGCGUAGAGAUCUGGAGGAAUACCGGUGGCGAAGGCGGCCCCCUGGACGAAGACUGACGCUCAGGUGCGAAAGCGUGGGGAGCAAACAGG
Molecule: ribosomal RNA, 429 nt
Filed under: Chloroflexota bacterium
Lineage: Bacteria; Bacillati; Chloroflexota
Description: Chloroflexi bacterium partial 16S ribosomal RNA
Rfam family: Bacterial small subunit ribosomal RNA
Source: RNAcentral